This is a long non-coding RNA of Lepisosteus oculatus (spotted gar), 1146 nucleotides long. RefSeq lists it as uncharacterized. The record is from RefSeq and is a predicted model, not a curated record. NCBI's taxonomy places the organism in Eukaryota, Metazoa, Chordata, Actinopteri, Semionotiformes, Lepisosteidae.
GACGCCAUGCAGGAUCUUGGUGACGCGUUUGGUCUCAUUCCGAAACACUCGGAACACCAGGAGCGCUGCCCGUGAGAGAGAGAGAGAGAUACAGUAGUGUGAGAAGAGGAGAGGAAGGGAGGCCAUGCUUCUUUUUAAAGAAAUGACAUUUUCAAGGAGCAAGGCAGUGAUGAGCACUGCCUGGAGACUCUCUCCUCCAUGUGAGAACAGCCAAGGCUCAGCACUUGGGCAGAAUGUCACCCUGUUCCAUUUCAGCUACGGCGGAUUCUAAUUGCUGUUUUUAUGGUUCGUUUGCUUUUCCGGAAGGCCUUCCUGGAGACCUGGGUCGAGCCAUGAAAGGAGAGAAAAAUGGACAGUUUGGAGGUGUUAUUAGAUGGUCCGCACAGGAAAAUUCAGACCCAUUUCUAAACACGAGAUCAGUCAGUUUCUCAGUUGGAUGAGAGUUAUUCAGCCCAGACCCUGUGGUCCGGCCUGAAUUCCAGUCUGUCCUCCCUCUGAACGAGGAUCUGGAUAUUUAGCCAGUAGAUCAGCUCUUGUCACAAGUCUGAGAGCACAGGAGACAAUCGGCCUCCUGCCUUUGUAAAACCUUUGUGCUAUUUGGGAAUGAAAAUCAUUUAUCUUCCCAUGAAACCCCUAGUUGAUUCCUGGCAUCAGCCACAGAGGCACCUCUCUCGUCAGUGGGCAGGUGUCCUGCUCACUUCCUUGUGGUUGACCAGUCAGACCUGUCCUGGAUGUUUUUAAGAUGCGAGAGGAACUUGUCUGGGAGAAACGAACCCCCAUGCCAUCCCAUAGCCAGUAAGACUCCGAGGCAGCAGUGUGCUAGUGAAUCAUUUACACUCUACAGCCACACCUGCUCUUUCGUUCUUCGUGUGUUUACUUUAAUCUCAUCCUAAAGGCAUGAGGACACCGAUUCCCAUUGCCAUGGCCUCCUCAUGCUGACCCUAAAGAAAUAUCAGUGCUGAUCCAAGCUCAAACUGAAUACUCGUCUCAGUUCGUUCAGAGUGCGAAAUAUCCAGUCUUCGUCUUUCAUGGGGCGUGCAGGACAGGGAGACUGUAUCGUACCGUGCUUGGUCAGCGCAGGGUGACCCGGGUGUCGGCCUGAUCAGACCUGAUCUGUGUGUCUUUGGGAAGUUAGAAGAAGGAGAG